This 2901-nucleotide ribosomal RNA is filed under the name Escherichia coli. RNAcentral's name for it is "23S ribosomal RNA". It matches the Rfam family "Bacterial large subunit ribosomal RNA". The record is from RNAcentral. Lineage: Bacteria; Pseudomonadati; Pseudomonadota; Gammaproteobacteria; Enterobacterales; Enterobacteriaceae.
UUAAGCGACUAAGCGUACACGGUGGAUGCCCUGGCAGUCAGAGGCGAUGAAGGACGUGCUAAUCUGCGAUAAGCGUCGGUAAGGUGAUAUGAACCGUUAUAACCGGCGAUUUCCGAAUGGGGAAACCCAGUGUGUUUCGACACACUAUCAUUAACUGAAUCCAUAGGUUAAUGAGGCGAACCGGGGGAACUGAAACAUCUAAGUACCCCGAGGAAAAGAAAUCAACCGAGAUUCCCCCAGUAGCGGCGAGCGAACGGGGAGCAGCCCAGAGCCUGAAUCAGUAUGUGUGUUAGUGGAAGCGUCUGGAAAGGCGCGCGAUACAGGGUGACAGCCCCGUACACAAAAAUGCACAUGCUGUGAGCUCGAUGAGUAGGGCGGGACACGUGGUAUCCUGUCUGAAUAUGGGGGGACCAUCCUCCAAGGCUAAAUACUCCUGACUGACCGAUAGUGAACCAGUACCGUGAGGGAAAGGCGAAAAGAACCCCGGCGAGGGGAGUGAAAAAGAACCUGAAACCGUGUACGUACAAGCAGUGGGAGCACGCUUAGGCGUGUGACUGCGUACCUUUUGUAUAAUGGGUCAGCGACUUAUAUUCUGUAGCAAGGUUAACCGAAUAGGGGAGCCGAAGGGAAACCGAGUCUUAACUGGGCGUUAAGUUGCAGGGUAUAGACCCGAAACCCGGUGAUCUAGCCAUGGGCAGGUUGAAGGUUGGGUAACACUAACUGGAGGACCGAACCGACUAAUGUUGAAAAAUUAGCGGAUGACUUGUGGCUGGGGGUGAAAGGCCAAUCAAACCGGGAGAUAGCUGGUUCUCCCCGAAAGCUAUUUAGGUAGCGCCUCGUGAAUUCAUCUCCGGGGGUAGAGCACUGUUUCGGCAAGGGGGUCAUCCCGACUUACCAACCCGAUGCAAACUGCGAAUACCGGAGAAUGUUAUCACGGGAGACACACGGCGGGUGCUAACGUCCGUCGUGAAGAGGGAAACAACCCAGACCGCCAGCUAAGGUCCCAAAGUCAUGGUUAAGUGGGAAACGAUGUGGGAAGGCCCAGACAGCCAGGAUGUUGGCUUAGAAGCAGCCAUCAUUUAAAGAAAGCGUAAUAGCUCACUGGUCGAGUCGGCCUGCGCGGAAGAUGUAACGGGGCUAAACCAUGCACCGAAGCUGCGGCAGCGACACUAUGUGUUGUUGGGUAGGGGAGCGUUCUGUAAGCCUGUGAAGGUGUACUGUGAGGUAUGCUGGAGGUAUCAGAAGUGCGAAUGCUGACAUAAGUAACGAUAAAGCGGGUGAAAAGCCCGCUCGCCGGAAGACCAAGGGUUCCUGUCCAACGUUAAUCGGGGCAGGGUGAGUCGACCCCUAAGGCGAGGCCGAAAGGCGUAGUCGAUGGGAAACAGGUUAAUAUUCCUGUACUUGGUGUUACUGCGAAGGGGGGACGGAGAAGGCUAUGUUGGCCGGGCGACGGUUGUCCCGGUUUAAGCGUGUAGGCUGGUUUUCCAGGCAAAUCCGGAAAAUCAAGGCUGAGGCGUGAUGACGAGGCACUACGGUGCUGAAGCAACAAAUGCCCUGCUUCCAGGAAAAGCCUCUAAGCAUCAGGUAACAUCAAAUCGUACCCCAAACCGACACAGGUGGUCAGGUAGAGAAUACCAAGGCGCUUGAGAGAACUCGGGUGAAGGAACUAGGCAAAAUGGUGCCGUAACUUCGGGAGAAGGCACGCUGAUAUGUAGGUGAAGCGACUUGCUCGUGGAGCUGAAAUCAGUCGAAGAUACCAGCUGGCUGCAACUGUUUAUUAAAAACACAGCACUGUGCAAACACGAAAGUGGACGUAUACGGUGUGACGCCUGCCCGGUGCCGGAAGGUUAAUUGAUGGGGUCAGCGCAAGCGAAGCUCUUGAUCGAAGCCCCGGUAAACGGCGGCCGUAACUAUAACGGUCCUAAGGUAGCGAAAUUCCUUGUCGGGUAAGUUCCGACCUGCACGAAUGGCGUAAUGAUGGCCAGGCUGUCUCCACCCGAGACUCAGUGAAAUUGAACUCGCUGUGAAGAUGCAGUGUACCCGCGGCAAGACGGAAAGACCCCGUGAACCUUUACUAUAGCUUGACACUGAACAUUGAGCCUUGAUGUGUAGGAUAGGUGGGAGGCUUUGAAGUGUGGACGCCAGUCUGCAUGGAGCCGACCUUGAAAUACCACCCUUUAAUGUUUGAUGUUCUAACGUGGACCCGUGAUCCGGGUUGCGGACAGUGUCUGGUGGGUAGUUUGACUGGGGCGGUCUCCUCCUAAAGAGUAACGGAGGAGCACGAAGGUUGGCUAAUCCUGGUCGGACAUCAGGAGGUUAGUGCAAUGGCAUAAGCCAGCUUGACUGCGAGCGUGACGGCGCGAGCAGGUGCGAAAGCAGGUCAUAGUGAUCCGGUGGUUCUGAAUGGAAGGGCCAUCGCUCAACGGAUAAAAGGUACUCCGGGGAUAACAGGCUGAUACCGCCCAAGAGUUCAUAUCGACGGCGGUGUUUGGCACCUCGAUGUCGGCUCAUCACAUCCUGGGGCUGAAGUAGGUCCCAAGGGUAUGGCUGUUCGCCAUUUAAAGUGGUACGCGAGCUGGGUUUAGAACGUCGUGAGACAGUUCGGUCCCUAUCUGCCGUGGGCGCUGGAGAACUGAGGGGGGCUGCUCCUAGUACGAGAGGACCGGAGUGGACGCAUCACUGGUGUUCGGGUUGUCAUGCCAAUGGCACUGCCCGGUAGCUAAAUGCGGAAGAGAUAAGUGCUGAAAGCAUCUAAGCACGAAACUUGCCCCGAGAUGAGUUCUCCCUGACCCUUUAAGGGUCCUGAAGGAACGUUGAAGACGACGACGUUGAUAGGCCGGGUGUGUAAGCGCAGCGAUGCGUUGAGCUAACCGGUACUAAUGAACCGUGAGGCUUAACCUU